AAGUCGUAACAAGGUUUCCGUAGGUGAACCUGCGGAAGGAUCAUUAACAUGUUGGAGUGGCCUUCGGGCCCGUCCUCCAUAAACCCACCUCUGUGUACCUUUUCCUGUUGCUUCCGCGGGACAUCGGGGUUCGCCCCGGACGUCUGGCGAGGAGGGAUGCUCCGUCCCUUCGUAGCCACGGCGGAGCGCCCGCGGGAGGUCAUCCAAAGAAACCCAUUUGCAAUACAUAUCUUCUGUCUGAAUGAAUAAACUUAAUAGUUAAAACUUUCAACAACGGAUCUCUUGGUUCUC
RNAcentral lists this unclassified non-coding RNA (291 nucleotides) under fungal sp. RNAcentral's name for it is "partial internal transcribed spacer region". The stretch from base 1 to 46 matches the Rfam family "Eukaryotic small subunit ribosomal RNA", at positions 1786 to 1831 of the family's 1831-position model. The record is from RNAcentral. Lineage: Eukaryota; Fungi.